RNAcentral lists this ribosomal RNA (406 nucleotides) under uncultured bacterium. Its description in RNAcentral is "partial 16S ribosomal RNA". It matches the Rfam family "Bacterial small subunit ribosomal RNA", at positions 30 to 526 of the family's 1533-position model. The record is from RNAcentral.
AUUGAACGCUGGCGGCAGGCCUAACACAUGCAAGUCGAACGAGUGGCGGACGGGUGAGUAAUGUCUGGGAAACUGCCCGAUGGAGGGGGAUAACUACUGGAAACGGUAGAUAAUACCGCAUACCAUCGGAUGUGCCCAGAGGGGAUUAGCUAGUAGGUGGGGUAAAGGCUCACCUAGGCGACGAUCCCGAGCUGGUCUGAGCGGAUGACCAGCAAACCUGGAACUGAGACACGGUCCAGCCUCCUACGGGAUGCAGCAGGGGGGAAUAUUGCACAAUGGGCGCAAGCCUGAUGCAGCCAUGCCGCGUGUAUGAAGAAGGCCUUCGGGUUGUAAAGUACUUUCAGCGAGGAGGCGUUACUCGCAGAAGAAGCACCGGCUAACUCCGUGCCAGCAGCCGCGGUAAUAC